ACUAAAUAGAUACCCUGGUAGUCCACGCCCUAAACGAUGUCUACUAGUUGUUGGUGGAGUAAAAUCCAUGAGUAAACGCAGCUAAACGCGUGAAGUAGACCGCCUGGGGAGUACGGUCGCAAGAUUAAAAACUCAAAGGAAUUGACGGGGGCCCGGCACAAGCGGUGGAUUAUGUGGAUUAAAUUCGAUGCAACGCGAAAAACCUUACCUGGCCUUGACAUGCCACUAACGAAGCAGAGAUGCAUUAGGUGCCCGUAAGGGAAAGUGGACACAGGUGCUGCAUGGCUGUCGUCAGCUCGUGUCGUGAGAUGUUGGGUUAAGUCCCGCAACGAGCGCAACCCUUGCCAUUAAUUGCCAUCAUUUAGUUGGGCACUUUAAUGGGACUGCCGGUGACAAACCGGAGGAAGGUGGGGAUGACGUCAAGUCCUCAUGGCCCUUAUGGCCAGGGCUUCACACGUAAUACAAUGGUCGGUACAGAGAGUUGCCAACCCGCGAGGGGUAGCUAAUCUCAGAAAGCCGAUCGUAGUCCGGAUUGUUCUCUGC
Molecule: ribosomal RNA, 543 nt
Filed under: uncultured bacterium
Lineage: Bacteria
Description: bacterial SSU rRNA
Rfam family: Bacterial small subunit ribosomal RNA
Source: RNAcentral